CAAAUAUGAAUUUAACAUAAGUGAAAUGUGAAAUGGAGAAGGAAAUGAAAGAAGGUUGACAGGAAAGCAUGAAACAGCCAGCAUAGACACAUUCUCUUGGGGAGUCGCUAACCGUGGUUGCUCAAUCCGUGUGGGAAGAGACACAGAAAAGAAUGGCAAAGGUAAGUU
This is a non-coding RNA of Arachis ipaensis, 168 nucleotides long. The record is from RefSeq and is a predicted model, not a curated record. Lineage: Eukaryota; Viridiplantae; Streptophyta; Magnoliopsida; Fabales; Fabaceae.